Molecule: ribosomal RNA, 327 nt
Filed under: uncultured Pseudomonadota bacterium
Lineage: Bacteria; Pseudomonadati; Pseudomonadota
Description: bacterial SSU rRNA
Rfam family: Bacterial small subunit ribosomal RNA
Source: RNAcentral
AGUGAACGCUGGCGGCAGGCCUAACACAUGCAAGUCGAACGGCAGCACAGGAGAGCUUGCUCUCUGGGUGGCGAGUGGCGGACGGGUGAGGAAUAUAUCGGAAUCUACCCUUUCGUGGGGGAUAACGUAGGGAAACUUACGCUAAUACCGCAUACGAACUGAGGUUGAAAGCGGCGGACCGCAAGGCGUCGCGCGGAUGGAUGAGCCGAUAUCCGAUUAGCUAGUUGGCGGGGUAAAGGCCCACCAAGGCGACGAUCGGUAGCUGGUCUGAGAGGAUGAUCAGCCACACUGGAACUGAGACACGGUCCAGACUCCUACGGGAGGCAG